This 291-nucleotide small nuclear RNA is filed under the name Neotoma lepida (desert woodrat). RNAcentral describes it as "7SK RNA". It matches the Rfam family "7SK RNA". From Rfam's summary of the family: 7SK was discovered as an abundant small nuclear RNA in the mid-70s but a possible function has only recently been suggested. Two independent studies have found that 7SK RNA binds the CDK9/cyclin T complex (known as elongation factor P-TEFb). P-TEFb activates transcription by phosphorylating the C-terminal domain of RNA polymerase II. The record is from Rfam by way of RNAcentral. Lineage: Eukaryota; Metazoa; Chordata; Mammalia; Rodentia; Cricetidae.
GAUGUGAGGGUGAACUGUCACCCAGUUGAACUCUGGCAUUAAUAUGGCUGACCUCAUCUGGCUGAGUGGAUGACCUCUUUUUCCUUUUCACCAUGUAUGUCUCUUUCAAAGCUGUGUGCUCUGUCAAAGAGGAUGCCUUUCCCCUAGAGGAAGACUGUUUUCAGUCAAGAGAAUACAACUAGACAUGCUCCCCUACUAGAUCUUCAAUAGAGUGCUCAAUUUGUUUAUAAGAAAACUGCCAGCUUUUCAAGAGACAUCCCCAGCAGUAAACUGCCACAGUUGCUGUUGCUC